Molecule: ribosomal RNA, 511 nt
Filed under: uncultured bacterium
Lineage: Bacteria
Description: bacterial SSU rRNA
Rfam family: Bacterial small subunit ribosomal RNA
Source: RNAcentral
UAGUCCACGCCGUAAACGAUGUCUACUAGCCGUUGGAACCCUUCGUGGUUUUGGUGGCGCAGCUAACGCGAUAAGUAGACCGCCUGGGGAGUACGGCCGCAAGGUUAAAACUCAAAUGAAUUGACGGGGGCCCGCACAAGCGGUGGAGCAUGUGGUUUAAUUCGAUGCAACGCGAAGAACCUUACCAGGCCUUGACAUCCUCAGAACUUUCCAGAGAUGGAUCGGUGUCUUCGGGAACUGAGUGACAGGUGCUGCAUGGCUGUCGUCAGCUCGUGUCGUGAGAUGUUGGGUUAAGUCCCGUAACGAGCGCAACCCUUGUCCCUAGUUGCCAGCACUUCGGGUGGGAACUCUAGGGAGACUGCCGGUGACAAACCGGAGGAAGGUAAGGAUGACGUCAAGUCAGCAUGCCCCUUACGCCCUGGGCUACACACGUGCUACAAUGGUCGUGACAAAGGGUCGCUAAUCUGCAAAGACAUGCUAAUCUCAUAAACACGGCCUCAGUUCGGAUUGC